CGCCUCGCAAUGCUUACUACAGGCUGUGUUUUUUACACUGACUGUACAGAAAGAGAAGGUACAGUAAAUGCACCCAUAUACACCUUAACCCAGGCCCUUUGCCUGGUCUGUAUUGUGAAUGCGGGGGGACAAAA
Suncus etruscus (white-toothed pygmy shrew) is the source of this 134-nucleotide small nucleolar RNA. RefSeq annotates it as small nucleolar RNA SNORA51. Lineage: Eukaryota; Metazoa; Chordata; Mammalia; Eulipotyphla; Soricidae. The transcript has a single exon. The record is from RefSeq and is a predicted model, not a curated record.